Molecule: transfer RNA, 75 nt
Filed under: Sphaerodactylus townsendi
Lineage: Eukaryota; Metazoa; Chordata; Lepidosauria; Squamata; Sphaerodactylidae
Description: tRNA-Ser
Rfam family: tRNA
About the family: Transfer RNA (tRNA) molecules are approximately 80 nucleotides in length. Their secondary structure includes four short double-helical elements and three loops (D, anti-codon, and T loops).
Source: RNAcentral
GGAGGUGCCGGGGCUCACUGGUAGAGCAUUUGCUUGGAAUGCAGAAGGUCCCAAGUUCAAUCUUGAGCAUCUUCA